This 497-nucleotide ribosomal RNA is filed under the name uncultured bacterium. Its description in RNAcentral is "partial 16S ribosomal RNA". It matches the Rfam family "Bacterial small subunit ribosomal RNA", at positions 28 to 507 of the family's 1533-position model. The record is from RNAcentral.
GACGAACGCUGGCGGCGUGCCUAAUACAUGCAAGUUGAGCGAUGAAGAUUGGUGCUUGCACCAAUUUGAAGAGCAGCGAACGGGUGAGUAACGCGUGGGGAAUCUGCCUUUGAGCGGGGGACAACAUUUGGAAACGAAUGCUAAUACCGCAUAACAACUUUAAACAUAAGUUUUAAGUUUGAAAGAUGCAAUUGCAUCACUCAAAGAUGAUCCCGCGUUGUAUUUGCUAGUUGGUGAGGUAAAGGCUCACCAAGGCGAUGACACAUAGCCGACCUGAGAGGGUGAUCGGCCACAUUGGGACUGAGACACGGCCCAAACUCCUACGGGAGGCAGCAGUAGGGAAUCUUCGGCAAUGGACGAAAGUCUGACCGAGCAACGCCGCGUGAGUGAAGAAGGUUUUCGGAUCGUAAAACUCUGUUGGUAGAGAAGAACGUUGGUGAGAGUGGAAAGCUCAUCAAGUGACGGUAACUACCCAGAAAGGGACGGCUAACUACGUG